CUUGCUGGGGGGCAGCGUCUUCAUGGUAUGUUGCAGGCUGACUUCCCCCUGGGCCCUGUGACCUCAGCUCACAGAGGGACCUACAGAUGCUACAGCUCUUUCAAUCACUCUCAUGUAUAGUCACACCCGAGUGACCCACUGCACCUUGCUGUUACAGUAUCUUCUACAAGUACGUGCCUCUCACCCACAGAGUCAAGUACAAGAAAAGAGGCACCACCUCCUCAAGAAAACUCCAGCAAGCUGAACAUUCUCAUUGGACUCUCAUUAGCCUUCCUCCUCAUUGGCAUUUCCCUCACUGCUUUCCUGUGUUACUGGUGUUCCAUCAAACAUCGUGCUGCCUUGAGAGAACCAGAGCCCAAGGAAGACCAGAUGAUGAAUGGCGAGGACCCUGCAGCAGAAGACACACACAGUGUAAUAUAUGCCCAGCUGACUCUCCAACAGAGAGGAUUCACACCCUCUUCCCUGAGUACUGAGGAUGUUUCCACUGAACCCAGUGUCUACAUGGAAUUCAAAGUAAACCAGGCCCAUGCUGAGGCUAGGCCUGGCCCUGAGCUCUGAGCACACACAGUGUUGCCAAGCAAAGACCGGGGUCUCUUUAUGGGAGGAGACCUCCCAGGAACACUCUUCCUCUUUCUCAAACCCAGCCUGACACUUCUGGGUGACAGCAGAGGAGCCUCAGGCUUGAAGGAGCAUCUUCUGAAUCCCACAACCUCUUCACAAUAGCUCAGUGGUUGAGGACUGUGGAAACUACCCACUCCCAGAAAUGUUAUGUACUCACCUGUACAUACUGUAAACCUGAUCACUACCACCCUACCUUUUUCUGAAAUUCUACUAAACCAAACUCUACAGAGUCUGAUGUAUGUACUUUGCCAGUUACUUUGUUUAAUUCUUCAAUAAAAUUCUACAGAGAUGAA
Molecule: long non-coding RNA, 914 nt
Organism: Phyllostomus discolor (pale spear-nosed bat)
Lineage: Eukaryota; Metazoa; Chordata; Mammalia; Chiroptera; Phyllostomidae
Exons: 5
Source: RefSeq, a predicted model, not a curated record